Molecule: ribosomal RNA, 1345 nt
Filed under: uncultured bacterium
Lineage: Bacteria
Description: bacterial SSU rRNA
Rfam family: Bacterial small subunit ribosomal RNA
Source: RNAcentral
GAUGAACGCUGGCGGCAUGCCUAACACAUGCAAGUCUACUAGAUGAAAUGUAAGCAAUUACUUUUUGAUCUGGUGGCGGACGGGUGAGUAACACGUAAACGACCUACCCCUUAGACUGGGAUAACUUACCGAAAGGUAAGCUAAUACCGGAUAGUCUUUUUCCUCACAAGAGGUCAAAGUAAAGCAUAUGCGCUGAGGGAGGAGUUUGCGCACCAUUAGCUAGUUGGUAGGGUAAAAGCCUACCAAGGCUACGAUGGUUAGCCGGCCUGAGAGGGUGUACGGCCACAAUGGAACUGAGAACGGUCCUUACUCCUACGGGAGGCAGCAGUGGGGAAUAUUGCGCAAUGGGCGAAAGCCUGACGCAGCAAUGCCGCGUGGAUGAAGACGGCCUUCGGGUUGUAAAGUCCUUUUAGCAGGGAAGAAUAUUUGACGGUACCUGCAGAAAAAGCCACGGCUAAUUACGUGCCAGCAGCCGCGGUAAGACGUAAGUGGCAAGCGUUAUCCGGAAUUACUGGGUGUAAAGGGAGUGUAGGUGGUUGCGUAAGUCAGAAGUUAAAACGCCAGGCUUAACCUGGUCGGUGCUUUUGAAACUGCAUAACUAGAGUAUGGGGGAGGAAGACGGAAUUAUCACUGUAGCGGUGGAAUGCGUAGAUAGUGAUAGGAACGCCGACGACGAAGGUAGUCUUCUAGACCAAUACUGACACUGAGGCUCGAAAGCUAGGGGAGCAAACAGGAUUAGAUACCCUGGUAGUCCUAGCUGUAAACGAUGGAUACUAGGUGGAAGAGAUAACAUCUUUUCUGCCGAAGCUAACGCAUUAAGUAUCCCACCUGGAGAGUACGAUCGCAAGGUUGAAACUCAAAGGAAUUGACGGGGACCCGCACAAGCGGUGGAGCAUGUGGUUUAAUUCGAUGAUACACGAGGAACCUUACCAGAGCUUGACAUUUGUGGGAAUCUGCCUUAAUAGGUAGAGUGCCUCCCGCAAGGGAGGAACCCAUAGAACAGGUGGUGCAUGGCUGUCGUCAGCUCGUGCCGUGAGGUGUUGGAUUAAGUUCCGCAACGAGCGCAACCCCUUUGUCUAGUUACUAACAUUAAGUUGAGAACUCUAGACAGACUGUCUGCGAGAGCAGAAGGAAGGUGGGGACGACGUCAAGUCAUCAUGCCCCUUAUGUUCUGGGCUACACACGUGCUACAAUGGGGAGUACAAAGAGUUGCUAAGCAGCAAUGCGGAGCCAAUCUCAUAAAGCUUCUCCCAGUUCGGAUUGCAGUCUGAAACUCGACUGCAUGAAGCCGGAAUCGCUAGUAAUCGCGAAUCAGCUAUGUCGCGGUGAAUACGUUCUCGGGUCU